UUAAUCAUUAUUGUCGUCUCUUAAUCUGGUAAUAGAUGCAGUUAUAACUUCCAGUUGCUUAAUUAAGUUUAGC
Long non-coding RNA from Sinocyclocheilus anshuiensis, 73 nucleotides. RefSeq lists it as uncharacterized. The record is from RefSeq and is a predicted model, not a curated record. Lineage: Eukaryota; Metazoa; Chordata; Actinopteri; Cypriniformes; Cyprinidae. The transcript has 3 exons.